CUGGUGUUGGGCGUGAGCGGGAAUCGAACCCUGGUCGCCAGAUGGCGCUGCAAGCAAGGACACGAGACGGGUGACGAAACUCGGGAUCUCGCGGGCCGCUCCCGCAGCACGAGGACACAGGCGAUGUGGUUGUGGUCGAGGCGUCUGUGCUGUGGUGAAUGCAGGGGUCACACUUCUCAUUUGCAGAUUCGGUGCGGCGGUCGUCGUUUGUCAACCCCAAAGCGACGGACGGCCCCCGGCAACUCCCACCGGCGCUCGCACACACGCACACUCACACACGCACACUCACACGCACUCACUCAUACAUACACUAACACGCUCGCACAUUCACACACGCACACUCACUCACACAUAUACUA
This is a non-coding RNA of Petromyzon marinus (sea lamprey), 359 nucleotides long. NCBI's taxonomy places the organism in Eukaryota, Metazoa, Chordata, Hyperoartia, Petromyzontiformes, Petromyzontidae. The record is from RefSeq and is a predicted model, not a curated record.